Saccoglossus kowalevskii is the source of this 157-nucleotide long non-coding RNA. RefSeq lists it as uncharacterized. The record is from RefSeq and is a predicted model, not a curated record. Lineage: Eukaryota; Metazoa; Hemichordata; Enteropneusta; Harrimaniidae.
CUGUCGACGAAAGGGGAAGCAGUCCUCACAAGCAGACCCAUUUCGAGAUGGCUAGUUACACAGCAAUGAUGGUAAUAUGUGUUGUGUUACUCCUGGUCACAGAUAUAAAGGCUCAGGAUCCAGAUCUUCGACCACAAGAUUGGAGUGCAGAACAAGG